AGUGAACGCUGGCGGUAGGCCUAACACAUGCAAGUCGAACGGCAGCACAGUAAGAGCUUGCUCUUACGGGUGGCGAGUGGCGGACGAGUGAGGAAUACAUCGGAAUCUACUUUUUCGUGGGGGAUAACGUAGGGAAACUUACGCUAAUACCGCAUACGACCUACGGGUGAAAGCAGGGGAUCUUCGGACCUUGCGCGAUUGAAUGAGCCGAUGUCGGAUUAGCUAGUUGGCGGGGUAAAGGCCCACCAAGGCGACGAUCCGUAGCUGGUCUGAGAGGAUGAUCAGCCACACUGGAACUGAGACACGGUCCAGACUCCUACGGGAGGCAGCAGUGGGGAAUAUUGGACAAUGGGCGCAAGCCUGAUCCAGCCAUACCGCGUGGGUGAAGAAGGCCUUCGGGUUGCAAAGCCCUUUUGUUGGGAAAGAAAAGCAGCAGGUUAAUACCCCGCUGUUCUGACGGUACCCAAAGAAUAAGCACCGGCUAACUUCGUG
RNAcentral lists this ribosomal RNA (492 nucleotides) under uncultured bacterium. RNAcentral describes it as "partial 16S ribosomal RNA". It matches the Rfam family "Bacterial small subunit ribosomal RNA", at positions 29 to 507 of the family's 1533-position model. The record is from RNAcentral.